Long non-coding RNA from Hyla sarda, 1039 nucleotides. RefSeq lists it as uncharacterized. NCBI's taxonomy places the organism in Eukaryota, Metazoa, Chordata, Amphibia, Anura, Hylidae. The record is from RefSeq and is a predicted model, not a curated record. The transcript is spliced from 5 exons.
UUCAUGAGAGACGUCGUGUGAAAAAUACUGAGGGUGAAGGCUAAAUGUAACCGAAUUCACAGGCAAAGCAAGAAAUAUGUACAGAAAGUCUACAACACUGUACGACAUUGUGAGGCAUCCGGUCAACAUAAAGGCUGGGUACCCGUCCAUCCCCUCGUGGCUCCUGGUCAUACAAUGCCUCUGCCAUGCUGGGCUCUGCCUUCAGUCUCUUAAGGAUGGUGUGAAAUGAUGGCAGGAAGUUCAGCCAGUGAGAGGGAAGAAGAGGUGAGAAGGAAAAUCUGAUGGAAGGCGAAAGAAGAGGACUAGACGGAUGAAGUGAGAAGGAAAGACAAAGCAAUGGAGAAGUUGGCAGCAGGAGAUAAUGAGACUGCCAUUAACCCUGCGCUGCAAGACCAACAUGUAAGGAGGUCCCUACGUCACAUAUUAGGCCAUAGGAAGACCUACCACUCGGACUGUCUUCAUCUUCCUCUUUGAUGGCCUGGAACAUAUGUAUAUAUACGUAUGUAUAUUUUAAUCCUCCAGCCAUACUCACGAAGGGCUCGGAGCGAGCGAGGAGUUAAAAGAACGCUCCAAGAGAUUAAGGCCGGCAUGCGUCCUGGAAGCUGGAUAGGCCGGUAGGCUGGAAAGAGUCAGCCAAUGGGGGACGAGUAUUCAGCAGCAGUGAAAGUUAGUGGAGCCGUAUGUCUGGCUGGAUAAGCCUGGGAGUGCAGGGAUAGAAUGGUGCAGCCUGACUAUUGGUGAAUCUGUAGUAAAUUCCCCAUAUGUGACCGCCAUCGAUAUAAAACGCCGUAUAUACGGUAUAUAAAAAAAUACGCAACUAUCAAUCGACGCUACAGUGUGUUAUAUGCAAUGUUACUACCCUGGUGUGAUGUGCUCCAGGUAACUCAGUCCGCUGCACCGCACAACAUGUACUCUGUGAUCCUUGGCCGCCGUCCAUAGGAACUAAUCAUCUUCUUCCCUCGCACUUCCAGCUGAUGCUGUUUCUAAUAUUCACGCACGGUUUCCGAAGCAUAUAACUAUUAUACCGUUGUAAAAAAAA